Molecule: long non-coding RNA, 188 nt
Organism: Zalophus californianus (California sea lion)
Lineage: Eukaryota; Metazoa; Chordata; Mammalia; Carnivora; Otariidae
Exons: 3
Source: RefSeq, a predicted model, not a curated record
AUUCUGUCAGCAGUGUGGAAGAUGGACUGGAGGCUGGGGAAGAAUCAGAACAGGGCAGGAGCUGAAUUGGGCUUUCCAAUGAUGACCAGAGUGACUUGGGAAGCAACCUAUUAAAGAUGGCGGAAACUCAGGACAAUGUCCCCUCAUGUUAUUACUGGAGAGUAUUCCAUAUAUACUACAAUUAUUCA